This 253-nucleotide ribosomal RNA is filed under the name uncultured bacterium. RNAcentral describes it as "partial 16S ribosomal RNA". It matches the Rfam family "Bacterial small subunit ribosomal RNA", at positions 524 to 776 of the family's 1533-position model. The record is from RNAcentral.
UACGUAGGGGGCAAGCGUUGUCCGGAUUUACUGGGCGUAAAGCGCGCGUAGGCGGAAGGUUAAGCGUGGCCUGAAAGCCCCCGGCUCAACCGGGGAGGGCGGCUGCGAACUGGCCUUCUUGAGGGCGAUAGAGGAGCGCGGAAUUCCUGGUGUAGCGGUGAAAUGCGUAGAGAUCAGGAGGAACACCCGUGGCGAAGGCGGCGCUCUGGGUCGGCCCUGACGCUGAGGUGCGAAAGCGUGGGGAGCGAUCCGG